RNAcentral lists this ribosomal RNA (434 nucleotides) under uncultured bacterium. Its description in RNAcentral is "bacterial SSU rRNA". It matches the Rfam family "Bacterial small subunit ribosomal RNA", at positions 29 to 507 of the family's 1533-position model. The record is from RNAcentral.
AACGAACGCUGGCGGCAUGCCUAACACAUGCAAGUCGAACGAACCCUUCGGGGUUAGUGGCGCACGGGUGCGUAACGCGUGGGGAUCUGCCCUUUGCUUCGGAAUAACAGUUAGAAAUGACUGCUAAUACCGGAUGAUGUCGAAAGACCAAAGAUUUAUCGGCAAAGGAUGAACCCGCGUAGGAUUAGCUAGUUGGUGGGGUAAAGGCCUACCAAGGCGACGAUCCUUAGCUGGUCUGAGAGGAUGAUCAGCCACACUGGGACUGAGACACGGCCCAGACUCCUACGGGAGGCAGCAGUGGGGAAUAUUGGACAAUGGGCGAAAGCCUGAUCCAGCAAUGCCGCGUGAGUGAUGAAGGCCUCGGUUGUAAAGCUCUUUUACCUAGGGAAUGAUAAUGACAGUACCUGGAGAAUAAGACUCCGGCUAACUCCGUG